CCUAUACUGAUGUGGUGUAUGUGGUACUGCUGAGCUUGUAUGUGAUCUGAACCAUUGUAAAGGUUGCAGUUCAAGGGCCUGAGGUAUGAAAUUCUUUUCAGAUCAGCUGUGAUCAAUAUUUUUUGGAACUUGAUAAAUAACAAUAAAAGCUGUAAUGGCUCCAUUAGCAUUUUGUGUAAAUGUUUGUGUUAAAAUUAUAGCUUUAAUGAGGUCUUUCUACAUUAGUUUUAGUUAUAAAGUAUGUAUAUGUGUACAUAUAGUAUGUAUAUUUACAGUACAGUAUGUUGUGUUUGUUGACAUGUUUUCAGGUGGAAGCAGAAUUUGUGAGGAUUACUACUGCUCCACUUGUUCCAAGGCUUUUUGCACAACUUGACCAAUACACUGACCAGCUCAUAAAAGUCUUCAAGAAAAAAGGAGGCGCUGCAGUGAAGAAAAUUAGACAAACUUUGGCCCCAGCCACACAGAAGCAAACUAUUGAAAAGGGGAGGGAGUGUGUCCUCAGGGCACUACCUUUUUACCUGAAUGAAGACCCAAGCAUCCUC
This is a long non-coding RNA of Oreochromis aureus, 542 nucleotides long. Lineage: Eukaryota; Metazoa; Chordata; Actinopteri; Cichliformes; Cichlidae. The record is from Ensembl.